UCCCCUUCGGGGACAGGGUGACAGGUGGUGCAUGGUUGUCGUCAGCUCGUGUCGUGAGAUGUUGGUUAAGUCCCGCAACGAGCGCAACCCUCGACCUUAGUUGCCAGCAUUCAGUUGGGCACUCUAAGGUGACUGCCGGCUAAAAGUCGGAGGAAGGUGGGGAUGACGUCAAAUCAUCAUGCCCCUUAUGACCUGGGCUACACACGUGCUACAAUGGGCGGUACAAAGGGCUGCGAACCCGCGAGGGGGAGCGAAUCCCAAAAAGCCGCUCUCAGUUCGGAUUGCAGGCUGCAACUCGCCUGCAUGAAGCCGGAAUCGCUAGUAAUCGCGGAUCAGCAUGCCGCGGUGAAUACGUUCCCGGGCCUU
Molecule: ribosomal RNA, 366 nt
Filed under: uncultured Anoxybacillus sp.
Lineage: Bacteria; Bacillati; Bacillota; Bacilli; Caryophanales; Anoxybacillaceae
Description: bacterial SSU rRNA
Rfam family: Bacterial small subunit ribosomal RNA
Source: RNAcentral